Molecule: ribosomal RNA, 1405 nt
Filed under: Weissella confusa
Lineage: Bacteria; Bacillati; Bacillota; Bacilli; Lactobacillales; Lactobacillaceae
Description: bacterial SSU rRNA
Rfam family: Bacterial small subunit ribosomal RNA
Source: RNAcentral
UCGAACGCUUUGUGGUUCAACUGAUUUGAAGAGCUUGCUCAGAUAUGACGAUGGACAUUGCAAAGAGUGGCGAACGGGUGAGUAACACGUGGGAAACCUACCUCUUAGCAGGGGAUAACAUUUGGAAACAGAUGCUAAUACCGUAUAACAAUGACAACCGCAUGGUUGUUAUUUAAAAGAUGGUUCUGCUAUCACUAAGAGAUGGUCCCGCGGUGCAUUAGCUAGUUGGUAAGGUAAUGGCUUACCAAGGCGAUGAUGCAUAGCCGAGUUGAGAGACUGAUCGGCCACAAUGGGACUGAGACACGGCCCAUACUCCUACGGGAGGCAGCAGUAGGGAAUCUUCCACAAUGGGCGAAAGCCUGAUGGAGCAACGCCGCGUGUGUGAUGAAGGGUUUCGGCUCGUAAAACACUGUUGUAAGAGAAGAAUGACAUUGAGAGUAACUGUUCAAUGUGUGACGGUAUCUUACCAGAAAGGAACGGCUAAAUACGUGCCAGCAGCCGCGGUAAUACGUAUGUUCCAAGCGUUAUCCGGAUUUAUUGGGCGUAAAGCGAGCGCAGACGGUUAUUUAAGUCUGAAGUGAAAGCCCUCAGCUCAACUGAGGAAUUGCUUUGGAAACUGGAUGACUUGAGUGCAGUAGAGGAAAGUGGAACUCCAUGUGUAGCGGUGAAAUGCGUAGAUAUAUGGAAGAACACCAGUGGCGAAGGCGGCUUUCUGGACUGUAACUGACGUUGAGGCUCGAAAGUGUGGGUAGCAAACAGGAUUAGAUACCCUGGUAGUCCACACCGUAAACGAUGAGUGCUAGGUGUUUGAGGGUUUCCGCCCUUAAGUGCCGCAGCUAACGCAUUAAGCACUCCGCCUGGGGAGUACGACCGCAAGGUUGAAACUCAAAGGAAUUGACGGGGACCCGCACAAGCGGUGGAGCAUGUGGUUUAAUUCGAAGCAACGCGAAGAACCUUACCAGGUCUUGACAUCCCUUGACAACUCCAGAGAUGGAGCGUUCCCUUCGGGGACAAGGUGACAGGUGGUGCAUGGUUGUCGUCAGCUCGUGUCGUGAGAUGUUGGGUUAAGUCCCGCAACGAGCGCAACCCUUAUUACUAGUUGCCAGCAUUCAGUUGGGCACUCUAGUGAGACUGCCGGUGACAAACCGGAGGAAGGUGGGGAUGACGUCAAAUCAUCAUGCCCCUUAUGACCUGGGCUACACACGUGCUACAAUGGCGUAUACAACGAGUUGCCAACCCGCGAGGGUGAGCUAAUCUCUUAAAGUACGUCUCAGUUCGGAUUGUAGGCUGCAACUCGCCUACAUGAAGUCGGAAUCGCUAGUAAUCGCGGAUCAGCACGCCGCGGUGAAUACGUUCCCGGGUCUUGUACACACCGCCCGUCACACCAUGAGAGUUUGUAACACCC